Dreissena polymorpha is the source of this 1734-nucleotide long non-coding RNA. RefSeq lists it as uncharacterized. The record is from RefSeq and is a predicted model, not a curated record. NCBI's taxonomy places the organism in Eukaryota, Metazoa, Mollusca, Bivalvia, Myida, Dreissenidae. The transcript has 2 exons.
ACUAUACGCGUGUGCUUGCGUUAUAAAUAGUUUAUAAAUGGAAAUACCAUAAUUGUGUUCAUCUUGUUCUUUAAAUAAUUUAAAUAUUUCCACAGAUAAGCGAGUUAUAACACAGUUGUUAAAAAUACUAAUACAAACUUAUCAAAGAGGUACAAUUAUGUAUAUUGUGAUUUAAAUAAUCAUAACUUUCGUCUGGAGUAAACCUGACCUACAAAUGUACAUCGAUUGUUAACCGGAAAUCAUGAUUAUGAUCGUCGUAAUAUUCUUAAAUUAACGGGAAAAUUAAUUUAAACUUCUAAAAAAGGAAAACAUUAACUUCCGAGCACUUACUGAUGGGUUUUCAACUGAACUCGUACGAUACGAUAAGGAGGACCGGUACAAUCCGAAUAAUGGCUAGAGUGAGACCGGGCACAGCCAAUAAUUGAAUCAAUCCUACGUCUUUAUGCAUGCGAAAGCAUGGCGAGUUAAGAAAGCUUGAAGACAAAGUGGACAAGAAGACAAUUAAUUAAAUAGCAAUGGAAGUUACAUCCUAGAGUAGUUGUCCAAAUGUCUUAAAUAAUGCCAGAGUUAAAGUCGUGGAAACCACAAUUGUGCUCGAUAGUUAUCUUAACCAAAAAUGCUGAUGAUGGAAUCGAUCGACGGAGCCAAAAAAGAUAAUAUGCAAAAUUGUUGAUGAAGAAAUUUACAUAAAAAAAAUCUUUAAAAAAAACGGAAGAGCCAAACGAGUACUUACAUUGACUGAGUAACAUAGUCCGAUGCGAUGACAUUUCAUACACAAGUCCGGUGAAAAGUUAAUUGAUAUUUUAUUCUGCUAACUACAAGUCCACAAAAUAUUCUUAUUAAUACGAUACAUUCAGAAACUUUCGAGAUCGUAAAAUAUUAAAUUCAAAUAAUAAAAAAUAUGGCGGGCGACCAGACCCUUACGGGUGUGCGCCGCGAUUCACAAUUUAAAUGAAUCCGAGGUAUAUGCUAGUUUAACUCGAGCUGGACUAUUUUUGUUCAUACAGAAUUGCUAUCUUUUUUAUUCGUCCGAUACAAUUCGACGGUUACUAUACUGCGGGAGAAGAACUAUAUGAGAAUUUGAAUGUUGUUACAAUCCCAUUCAAACAAGUACAUUUGUAAAUGUUGUAUGAAAUCAUAUGAAUAAUGUUUCUGCUUAAUAGAAAUACAUUAAAGUGGUAAGUUUUAUAUUCCUGAUUCGUUCAACGUUUGAUUUUCCGUAUGUUUUGCAUUAUAACGUGAAUACAUAAAAUCUGGCGUAUUCAAAUAACGGCUGCCGCAUUUGUUUUCGGGACGUCUCCGAUGUUUAAGGCUUAACGAGUGCUUUCAAUCAAUGGCUUUUGGUUUUAAAAGUAGAUAGUGUAAUACAUUCGAACAUUUGAAAACAGGGGGCAUUGAACCAGCUAUAAUUUACCGAACACUAUUUUUUACAAUUAGGCAUAAAAUAAUAACAGAGAUAAACUUAUCAUAUGAGAAGAAUCAUUUUCCCACUUGAAGCAAAUAAUAAUGCAUUCUACCGAUCGAAUUCUUAUCAUAGUUUCGACUUUCAAUGCGCCGAAUGUCGGUCGCUCAAAACUUAUUGACGUUGACCAAGCAGCUACUUGAAAUUCAAAUUAAAUGUGGUCCAACAGGGGAUUCCACAAUUGUUUCAGACCGAUACCGAAUAAACGGAGUAUGAUUCAUGUGUUGGGAUCCAACCUUUAUUUCCCCUGUUAAAGAACUAGAUUUUGGACG